UUACAGUCAUCCGCUUCUGAUUGGUUCAGUGCGGCAUAUUUGGUGCUCGGGUUAUGGGAAACUGCACAUUUUUUCCCCCUGCCUUCCAGAGGCGGCAGCAGCAGGGCACGCUAAUGUUAACUAUUUCAGACUAUUUAAGUACACAACUUCAUGUUUAUCAGUCAGUCAAUAAACAUGAAAUACCUAUGAUGUGCCAGGCACUGUGCUAAGCUUUGAAGAUACCAGAGGCAAAAGACAGUUCUUGGCUCUCAAGAAGCUCCUAGUCUGAUGGGGGGAGACAACCUGUCCAGGACUUAGGUACAAACAAGAUAUAAACAGGAUAAAUUGAAGAUAAUCAACUGAGAGGAGGCACUAGAAUUAAGUGGAAUUGGGAAAGGCUUGUUGUAGAAGUUGGGAUUUUAGUUGGGAUUUGAAGAAGUCAGGGAAGCCAAGAGACACAGAUGAGGAGGAAUUGAAUUCCAGGCAUGGGGGGCAGCCAGUGAAAAUACAUAGAGUGUCUUAUUCAAGAACAGCAAGAAGGUUGAUGUUACUGGAUCAAAGAGUAUGUGGAUAGAUGGAGGAGGGAAACUAGUGGGUGGAAUUUAAGAUAUAAGAAAAUUAGAAAGAUGGUGAGCCAGGUUUUGAGGAGCAUAAGAAACAAUGUGAUAAGAGCUCUCUCAACUUUACUGCAAUUAUUUUUUUCAAAAUCACCUAUUCACUUCUGUCUCAGAGGAUGUAACCCUGUUUCCUAAGACUAAUCCUCUCUGCACCUGUGCCCUUGAUUCCAUCUUCUCUCACCUUCUAGACCUUGCCGCAGCUAUCAUCCCCUUUUCCUCACACAUAUUCACUGUAUCACUCUGAAUUGGUUCCUCAUCUGCCAAGUUUUCCCAAUCCUAAAAUAUCAUUCCUUCAACUCUUGUACAUCUUACAAAGGUACAUUCUCCCAUUCUUCUACCAUUUGUGUCCAUUCUUUUACUUCCCUCAGCAUCCACUUUCUCUUCAGCAACUUGCAAUCUGAUUUCUGUCCCUAUUACUCUACUGAAACUACUUUUUAAAAAAUUAUUUUAUUUAUUAAACUUAUUAUGCAUUCCUUUUUUCCUUACCAUCUCCCCCACUCACUGAAAAGAAAGAAAAAUCAAAGGAAGGACAAAAAGGAAGGAAGGGAAGGGAAGGAAAGAGGGAGGGAAGGAAGAAAAGGGAGGAGAGCAGGGAAGGAAAAGAAGAGAUGAA
RNAcentral lists this long non-coding RNA (1209 nucleotides) under Phascolarctos cinereus (koala). RNAcentral's name for it is "lncRNA (ENSPCIG00000032753.1)". Lineage: Eukaryota; Metazoa; Chordata; Mammalia; Diprotodontia; Phascolarctidae. The record is from RNAcentral.